Molecule: transfer RNA, 72 nt
Filed under: Ovis aries (sheep)
Lineage: Eukaryota; Metazoa; Chordata; Mammalia; Artiodactyla; Bovidae
Rfam family: tRNA
About the family: Transfer RNA (tRNA) molecules are approximately 80 nucleotides in length.
Source: Rfam by way of RNAcentral
UCCCUAGUAGUCUAGUGGGUAAGACUCUGCGUUCCCAAGGCAGGGGCCUGGGUUCAAUCCCUAGUCAAGGCA